GGAGAGAUGGCUCAGUGGUUAAGAGCACUGGCUGCUCUUCCAGAGGACCCGGGUUCAAUUCCCAGCACCCCA
This 72-nucleotide transfer RNA is filed under the name Mesocricetus auratus (golden hamster). It matches the Rfam family "tRNA". Rfam says of the family: Transfer RNA (tRNA) molecules are approximately 80 nucleotides in length. Their secondary structure includes four short double-helical elements and three loops (D, anti-codon, and T loops). The record is from Rfam by way of RNAcentral. Lineage: Eukaryota; Metazoa; Chordata; Mammalia; Rodentia; Cricetidae.